RNAcentral lists this ribosomal RNA (1235 nucleotides) under metagenome. RNAcentral's name for it is "bacterial SSU rRNA". It matches the Rfam family "Bacterial small subunit ribosomal RNA", at positions 114 to 1353 of the family's 1533-position model. The record is from RNAcentral.
CACGUGUGCAACCAACCCCGUACCGGGAGAUAACCCGCGGAAACGUGGACUAACACCCCAUAACACCUUUCCCCCGCAUGGGGGAGAGUUUAAAAUCACGAAGGUACGGGACGGGCACGCGCGACAUUAGGUAGUUGGCGGGGUAACGGCCCACCAAGCCGACGAUGUCUAGGGGUUCUGAGAGGAAGGUCCCCCACACUGGAACUGAGACGCGGUCCAGACUCCUACGGGAGGCAGCAGUGAGGAAUAUUGGUCAAUGGGCGAGAGCCUGAACCAGCCAAGUCGCGUGAGGGAAGAAUGGUCUAUGGCCUGUAAACCUCUUUUGUCAAGGAAGAAUAAGCGGCACGAGUGCCACCUUGCCAGUACUUGACGAAUAAGCAUCGGCUAACUCCGUGCCAGCAGCCGCGGUAAUACGGGGGAUGCGAGCGUUAUCCGGAUUUAUUGGGUUUAAAGGGCGCGUAGGCGGGACGUCAAGUCAGCGGUAAAAGACUGCAGCUAAACUGUAGCACGCCGUUGAAACUGUCGACCUGGAGACGAGACGAGGGAGGCGGAACAAGUGAAGUAGCGGUGAAAUGCAUAGAUAUCACUUGGAACCCCGAUAGCGAAGGCAGCUUCCCAGGCUCGAUCUGACGCUGAUGCGCGAGAGCGUGGGUAGCGAACAGGAUUAGAUACCCUGGUAGUCCACGCCGUAAACGAUGCUCACUGGAUCUUGGCGAUACACGGCCAGGGUUCAAGCGAAAGUAUUAAGUGAGCCACCUGGGGAGUACGUCGGCAACGAUGAAACUCAAAGGAGUUGACGGGGGCCCGCACAAGCGGAGGAACAUGUGGUUUAAUUCGAUGAUACGCGAGGAACCUUACCCGGGUUUAAAUGCAAGUUGCAUGAGGUGGAAACACCUCUUUCCCUCGGGACUACCUGCAAGGUGCUGCAUGGUUGUCGUCAUCUCGUGCCGUGAGGUGUCGGGUUAAGUCCCAUAACGAGCGCAACCCCUAUCGCCAGUUGCCAUCGGUUCAAGCCGGGCACUCUGUCGAGACUGCCACCGUAAGGCGCGAGGAAGGCGGGGAUGACGUCAAAUCAGCACGGCCCUUACACCCGGGGCGACACACGUGUUACAAUGGCCGGUACAGAGGGCAGCCACGGGGCGACCCGGAGCGAAUCUCUAAAGCCGGUCGUAGUUCGGACUGGAGUCUGCAACCCGACUCCACGAAGUUGGAUUCGCUAGUAAUCGCGCAUCAGC